Molecule: ribosomal RNA, 233 nt
Filed under: uncultured bacterium
Lineage: Bacteria
Description: partial 16S ribosomal RNA
Rfam family: Bacterial small subunit ribosomal RNA
Source: RNAcentral
UCCACGCCGUAAACGAUGAUAACUCGUUGUUGGCGAUACACAGUCAGCGACUAAGCGAAAGCGAUAAGUUAUCCACCUGGGGAGUACGAUCGCAAGGUUGAAACUCAAAGGAAUUGACGGGGGCCCGCACAAGCGGUGGAGCAUGUGGUUUAAUUCGAUGAUACGCGAGGAACCUUACCUGGGCUCAAAUGCAGAGUGACAGUCCCUGAAAGGGGAUUUUCUUCGGACAGUCU